Molecule: long non-coding RNA, 1219 nt
Filed under: Drosophila melanogaster (fruit fly)
Lineage: Eukaryota; Metazoa; Arthropoda; Insecta; Diptera; Drosophilidae
Description: long non-coding RNA:CR43753 (Dmel_CR43753)
Source: RNAcentral
UUAUUAGAUAUGCUCUAAGUUCACACGAAGCGAAAACUUCCCUCUCUUAGUAUUCACCUCGCUCUUUGCGUGGGAAAUUUGGUGAGGCACUUGUGCGAGUUGAUACCGAGGGUUUUGUUAACUUGCAAAAUCAAAUAGAAAAGGAACGAAUGCUGCUCUUUUACUCUCUAUUUACUUUCCAUAUAUUGUGUUAGUGUUUGGUGGGGUUCAAUAAUCAAAAAUGCGGAUAACAUAAGUUAAUAUUACUGCACUUAAUGUACUGAACUUUAUUGAUGACAAUUUGCGCUCGCGGCAUAUCCAUUCGGUGAGCCAUAAUUCAAUUUAUGGCCCAUGGCAACCUCAAAACCCACUUUAGAGCCGUACCGAGAUACACUUGGCAAAUAUAAGCAAAUAUAAAUAUAAAUCAACAUUCCGCAGAGAACCAUGUCUAGAGGCACGGGUGGACUGGGAUAGCUGCCAGGGAAAAAGGGAAAGUGAAAACUGGUCAGAGACCGGAUGACCGGGCAAUGGUCAGCGAUAAUAUCUGGAAACUUUGCCCCCACUGCAGUGGGGCCAGAAGAGCCACAGAAUGUGGGACACAUGCUGGGGCGAUGGUGGUGCGGCAGCCAUAGAAGUGGCUCAAUGAGACCCACUUGAACCAAAACCCCAACAAAUGCGGCUGCGGGACAAUGAUAUUUAGUUAUUUAGAAAACCGCAGAGUGCAAAAUGCCCGCCGAAUGUGCCAAUUUCCCACUCCCCCAUCGAUGGGAAACAAUUAAAAAUUCGUGUCAAAAUACGAACGCGAAGAGGUGGCAAGAAUUUUAAAUGCAUUUCAAGGUUUCUCCACCACACGCAAUGUGGCACAGCGAUUGCAUGUGGCAUGCACCCAGCACCAUCAGUCAUUUGAAGGGUUGGGUCUCAUUUAGCGAAAAUUAAUUUUAAAUUACACAUACGCCGUGGUUUCCCAUCCAUCAGCAAGUGGCUCCCUUUAAUUAAUUGCAUUCGGUCCACGCGAACGUUUUUUCUGCUUCUCACUUAAUUAUAAUAAACAAUUUUGAGCACUUUUGUCAUUUUGCACUGGCAUUAAAAAAGGCAACUGAAACUGUCCCGGGGUCAAAUAACUACAGCUCGUAUGCCACAUUACGUAUACGCCAUGUAUUUUUAAACAACGUCAGCGGAGAGGCAAGCAAAGCACAAACAACUCGGAGCCGAAAACGUGAAAUUGUGCAACAAAUAUAAU